GCAACUUGUAGCUCAGCAUCCUUAGAGCCCCGCCCUUGUAAGACGGUCGUCGAAGGUUAGAAUCCUUCCAUUUGCA
Molecule: transfer RNA, 76 nt
Filed under: Trichiurus lepturus (Atlantic cutlassfish)
Lineage: Eukaryota; Metazoa; Chordata; Actinopteri; Scombriformes; Trichiuridae
Description: tRNA-Thr
Rfam family: tRNA (bases 7-70)
About the family: Transfer RNA (tRNA) molecules are approximately 80 nucleotides in length.
Source: RNAcentral